AGGGACAUAGCUCAGUGGAAGAGCACUUGCUUUCCAUGCAGUAGUUCCCAAGUUCAGUUCUUGGUGUUUCCU
Molecule: non-coding RNA, 72 nt
Organism: Podarcis lilfordi (Lilford's wall lizard)
Lineage: Eukaryota; Metazoa; Chordata; Lepidosauria; Squamata; Lacertidae
Source: the annotation of a GenBank genome assembly